CAACCUGGGAGGGGUUGGGGGUCUCCUCUGAGGCCGGCUCGCCGAGAAGGCAGUGACCCCACAAAUGGCUGGUGAAACGUGUUCUAGCGACAGGAAAGCUGAGUGUGGUAGUAAGAAGCUCACACGCAGCGACAGUGCUUGCUGGAGACUGGUCACAGUCAGAGGCCAUCCUGCCAGAUGCUAAAUCUCCCCGGCAAGAAAUCCAAAGACAAAAUGUGCAGCGGCCACUGUCCAAAACCACUGUGUACAGAACAGCACAGAGCCCGUCAGAGCGGCAGGUGUCACAGCAGCAAACACUGGAGCCCGAUGUGUUGACUUUGGCAAGCUCCUGCACGACUUGUCAUGGAAAUGGAGUUUAUCGACAUUGAAAACUGGGACUCUAGAACUCAGCGAGGCUACCUGCUCCGACUGUCAGCCAAAGUGAUCUCCGGAAGCGCAAGAGUUACCAUUUCCUGUGUGCGUGGCCCGUGCAGGGGAUGGCCAAGUGCCCCGGAGACUUUGCACGUGUCAUCUGACUCCGUCCUUCCCGUGAGGGUUAGUGUGAUUAUGCCUAUGUUUCAGCUGCUGAAAACGGGGCUCAGAGAAGCUGAGUGAUUUAAGAUCACACAGGCAGUUAAAUGAAGCCCAAAUUUUA
Suricata suricatta (meerkat) is the source of this 634-nucleotide long non-coding RNA. RefSeq lists it as uncharacterized. NCBI's taxonomy places the organism in Eukaryota, Metazoa, Chordata, Mammalia, Carnivora, Herpestidae. The record is from RefSeq and is a predicted model, not a curated record. The transcript is spliced from 2 exons.